GCUUCUGAAUGGUGAAGAGGAGGAGGAAGAAUUCCUGAGAGGGAAAGGCCAGCUUAGAGUCAAACACACUCAGAACAAAGGGAAGGAGAGAAUUGGCUCUUGAGAAACAGCGGUGAGUGGGCAGAGGAUGAGGCCAGAGCGGCUGGUGGGGCCUGACUGUGAAGGGCAGAUGAGGAUUUUCGGCCACAUCCUGUAGGCCACAGUGAGCCGUGUACUAAGAAUGGCAGCAGAAUGCUCCGUCACUAUAUGCAGAAACAAGACAACUUGAAGCUAAAUGGAAGCCCUGCAGAGUCAACAGGUCCAGAUUCACAGUGCACGCCCUGAGCUACAGCCCCUCCAAAAGGCAUCUUCCCCCAGAGCCUCAAUGCCAAGCAAGGAGCCGUCAAGAGUCUGCCUUGGUUGUUUUGUUCUUUUUACAAACCGUACAGAUAUACAAUUGAUAACUCAGGAUUUCUAGUCAAUAACCAGAUAGUUAACACCACCUUAUUAAAAAAAAAAAAGCCAGAAACAUCUUUAAAUGCCUUGUCACUCCAAUAGCAAAGCGCACAGAAUGAGAACACAAGAGUGCCUUUUCAUUUUAAAAAUGUUUGGAAAUAUGUACAACUUUGAUAGCAUUUCAGAGUGCACCAGACACCACUGCCGCUUCAUGUAUACCACUGACAAUUUCUAGAGCACUUUGAGAGGCUACAAUA
Molecule: long non-coding RNA, 692 nt
Filed under: Homo sapiens (human)
Lineage: Eukaryota; Metazoa; Chordata; Mammalia; Primates; Hominidae
Description: HSALNT0213134
Source: RNAcentral